This 3106-nucleotide ribosomal RNA is filed under the name Clavibacter michiganensis. RNAcentral describes it as "bacterial LSU rRNA". It matches the Rfam family "Bacterial large subunit ribosomal RNA". The record is from RNAcentral. Lineage: Bacteria; Bacillati; Actinomycetota; Actinomycetes; Micrococcales; Microbacteriaceae.
CUAAGAGCAAACGGUGGAUGCCUUGGCAUCUGGAGCCGAAGAAGGACGUAUAAAUCUGCGAUAAGCCUCGGGGAGCUGAUAAUAGAGCUGUGAUCCGAGGAUCUCCGAAUGGGGAAACCCCGCCAGGCCCUUUGGGUGACCUGGUGACUCCCGCCUGAAUAUAUAGGGCGGGUAGAGGGAACGUGGGGAAGUGAAACAUCUCAGUACCCACAGGAAGAGAAAGCAAAAGCGAUUCCGUUAGUAGUGGCGAGCGAAACCGGAAGAGGCCAAACCGAUCAUGUGUGAUAUCCGGUAGGAGUUGCAUGGUCGGGGUUGCGGGACUUUCCGUACAGUUCUACCGAGCUGUGAGGGCAAUGAGCGCGAUAUAGACGAAUGGUCUUGAAAGGCCAGUCAUAGAGGGUGCGAACCCCGUAGUCGAAAUGUCGUCGCCUGUCCGGAGAGUAUCCCAAGUAGCACGGGGCCCGAGAAAUCCCGUGUGAAUCUGUCAGGACCACCUGAUAAGCCUAAAUACUCCCAGAUGACCGAUAGCGGACAAGUACCGUGAGGGAAAGGUGAAAAGUACCCCGGGAGGGGAGUGAAAUAGUACCUGAAACCGUUUGCUUACAAACCGUUGGAGCAUCCUUGUUGGUGUGACAGCGUGCCUUUUGAAGAAUGAGCCUGCGAGUUAGUGAUAUGUGGCGAGGUUAACCCGUGAGGGGCAGCCGUAGCGAAAGCGAGUCUUAAUAGGGCGUAUGAGUCGCAUGUUCUAGACCCGAAGCGAAGUGAUCUAUCCAUGGCCAGGUUGAAGCGACGGUAAGACGUCGUGGAGGACCGAACCCACUUCAGUUGAAAAUGGAGGGGAUGAGCUGUGGAUAGGGGUGAAAGGCCAAUCAAACUUCGUGAUAGCUGGUUCUCUCCGAAAUGCAUUUAGGUGCAGCGUUGCGUGUUUCUUGCCGGAGGUAGAGCUACUGGAUGGACGAUGGGCCCCAAAAGGUUACUGACUUCAGCCAAACUCCGAAUGCCGGUAAGUGAGAGCGCAGCAGUGAGACGGUGGGGGAUAAGCUUCAUCGUCGAGAGGGAAACAACCCAGACCACCAUCUAAGGUCCCUAAGCGCGUGCUAAGUGGGAAAGGAUGUGGAGUUGCAUAGACAACCAGGAGGUUGGCUUAGAAGCAGCCACCCUUGAAAGAGUGCGUAAUAGCUCACUGGUCAAGUGAUUCCGCGCCGACAAUGUAACGGGGCUCAAGCACGCCACCGAAGUUGUGGCAUUUAUAUUAUAGGCAGGCCUUCGUGGUCCAGCCGUAUGGAUGGGUAGGAGAGCGUCGUGUGGCCAGCGAAGCGGCGGUGUGAACCAGCCGUGGAGGCCACACGAGUGAGAAUGCAGGCAUGAGUAGCGAAAGACGGGUGAGAAACCCGUCCUCCGAAAGACCAAGGGUUCCAGGGCCAGGCUAAUCCGCCCUGGGUAAGUCGGGACCUAAGGCGAGGCCGACAGGCGUAGUCGAUGGACAACGGGUUGAUAUUCCCGUACCGAUGAAGAACCGCCCAAGACAAUCCAGUAAUGCUAAGUGUCUGAAUCCUUGAUUCGAUCCCUUCGGGGUGACGGUCUUGGCCUAGCACACGACCCUACGCUGGGGCGUUUAGCGUAUUAACAGGUGUGACGCAGGAAGGUAGCUGAGCCGGGCGAUGGUUGUCCCGGUCUAAGGAUGUAGGGCAGAAGAUAGGCAAAUCCGUCUUCUAUGUAGCCUGAGACCCGAUGGGUAGUCCUCACGGACGAAAUCAGUGAUCCUAUGCUGCCGAGAAAAGCAUCGACGCGAGGUUCCAAUCGCCCGUACCCCAAACCGACUCAGGUGGUCAGGUAGAGAAUACUAAGGAGAUCGAGAGAAUCGUGGUUAAGGAACUCGGCAAAAUGCCCCGUAACUUCGGGAGAAGGGGGCCUGAGGCGUGUAGGGAUUUACUCCUGAAGCGUUUGAAGGCCGCAGAGACCAGUGGGAAGCGACUGUUUACUAAAAACACAGGUCCGUGCUAAGUCGCAAGACGAUGUAUACGGACUGACGCCUGCCCGGUGCUGGAAGGUUAAGAGGAACGGUUAGCACGCAAGUGCGAAGCUGAGAAUUUAAGCCCCAGUAAACGGCGGUGGUAACUAUAACCAUCCUAAGGUAGCGAAAUUCCUUGUCGGGUAAGUUCCGACCUGCACGAAUGGCGUAACGACUUCCCAGCUGUCUCAACCGCGAACUCGGCGAAAUUGCACUACGAGUAAAGAUGCUCGUUACGCGCAGCAGGACGGAAAGACCCCGUGACCUUUACUACAGCUUGGUAUUGGUGUUCGGUGUGGCUUGUGUAGGAUAGGUGGGAGACUGUGAAGCUCGGACGCUAGUUCGGGUGGAGUCAUUGUUGAAAUACCACUCUGGUCACUCUGGAUAUCUAACUUCGAACCGUAAUCCGGUUCAGGGACAGUGCCUGGUGGGUAGUUUAACUGGGGCGGUUGCCUCCUAAAAAGUAACGGAGGCGCCCAAAGGUUCCCUCAACCUGGUUGGUAAUCAGGUGUCGAGUGUAAGUGCACAAGGGAGCUUGACUGUGAGACUGACAAGUCGAGCAGGGACGAAAGUCGGGACUAGUGAUCCGGCAGUGGCUUGUGGAAGCGCUGUCGCUCAACGGAUAAAAGGUACCUCGGGGAUAACAGGCUGAUCUUGCCCAAGAGUCCAUAUCGACGGCAUGGUUUGGCACCUCGAUGUCGGCUCGUCGCAUCCUGGGGCUGGAGUAGGUCCCAAGGGUUGGGCUGUUCGCCCAUUAAAGCGGUACGCGAGCUGGGUUUAGAACGUCGUGAGACAGUUCGGUCCCUAUCCGCUGCGCGCGUAGGAAAUUUGAGAAGAUCUAUCCCUAGUACGAGAGGACCGGGAUGGACGAACCUCUGGUGUGUCAGUUGUUCCGCCAGGAGCACCGCUGAUUAGCUACGUUCGGAACGGAUAACCGCUGAAAGCAUCUAAGCGGGAAGCCGGCUUCGAGAUGAGAUUUCCAUCCCUUUCAGGGUGAAGGCUCCCGGCUAGACUACCGGGUUGAUAGGCAGGAUGUGGAAGCGAGGACUAAAGACUCGUGGAGCUGACCUGUACUAAUAAGCCGAUAUCUUGAAA